AUGCCAGACUCCUACGGGAGGCAGCAGUGAGGAAUAUUGGUCAAUGGGCGCGAGCCUGAACCAGCCAAGUCGCGUGAGGGAAGACGGUCCUAUGGAUUGUAAACCUCUUUUGCCGGGGAGCAACGGGGUCCUUGCGAGGGCCCGAUGAGAGUACCCGGAGAAAAAGCAUCGGCUAACUCCGUGCCAGCAGCCGCGGUAAUACGGAGGAUGCGAGCGUUAUCCGGAUUUAUUGGGUUUAAAGGGUGCGUAGGCGGGCUGUUAAGUCAGCGGUCAAAUGUCGGGGCUCAACCCCGGCCUGCCGUUGAAACUGCAUCCCUUGAGUGCGCGAGAAGUAUGCGGAAUGCGUGGUGUAGCGGUGAAAUGCAUAGAUAUCACGCAGAACUCCGAUUGCGAAGGCAGCAUACCGGCGCGCAACUGACGCUGAAGCACGAAAGCGUGGGUAUCGAACAGGAUUAGAUACCCCAGUACU
This 469-nucleotide ribosomal RNA is filed under the name uncultured bacterium. RNAcentral describes it as "bacterial SSU rRNA". It matches the Rfam family "Bacterial small subunit ribosomal RNA", at positions 328 to 794 of the family's 1533-position model. The record is from RNAcentral.